Molecule: small RNA, 154 nt
Filed under: Atopostipes suicloacalis
Lineage: Bacteria; Bacillati; Bacillota; Bacilli; Lactobacillales; Carnobacteriaceae
Also listed under: 1 other name
Source: RNAcentral
AAGAACCAUUCAAAGACAACUAAGGUAUGGAAGUUUGGUUAAAUUCCAACGCGGUCCCGCCACUGUAAUCAUGCAUGAAGCAUGGAGCCAGAUCUUUACUUAGUUUGCUAAUAAUGCAUAUGGGCUGUUUCGAGGUCAAGCAGCUACAUGGAGA